Molecule: ribosomal RNA, 935 nt
Filed under: uncultured bacterium
Lineage: Bacteria
Description: bacterial SSU rRNA
Rfam family: Bacterial small subunit ribosomal RNA
Source: RNAcentral
AGAGUUUGAUCCUGGCUCAGAACGAACGCUGGCGGCGUGGAUUAGGCAUGCAAGUCGAACGCGAAAGUGGGGGUAACUCCACGAGUAGAGUGGCGAACGGGUGAGUAACGCGUGAGAAACCUGCCUUCAUCAGGGGGAUAACACUCCCAACGGGGUGCUAAUACCGCAUGAGACCACGGGAUCGCAUGGUCCUGAGGUCAAAGGUGGCCUCUAUUUAUAAGCUACCGGAUGAAGAUGGUCUCGCGUCCCAUUAGCUAGUUGGCGGGGUAACGGCCCACCAAGGCGACGAUGGGUAGCUGGUCUGAGAGGAUGGUCAGCCACACUGGGACUGAGAUACGGCCCAGACUCCUACGGGAGGCAGCAGUCGAGAGGCUUCGGCAAUGGGGGAAACCCUGACCGAGCGACGCCGCGUGGGGGAUGAAGGCCCUUGGGUUGUAAACCCCUUUUAUUCGGGAAGAAAUGUGAUCAGGUGAAUAAUCUGGUCAUUUGACGGUACCGGAUGAAUAAGCUCCGGCUAACUCCGUGCCAGCAGCCGCGGUAACACGGGGGGAGCAAGCGUUGUUCGGAAUCACUGGGCGUAAAGGGCGUGUAGGCGGUCAAGUAAGUGGGAUGUGAAAUGCCCCGGCUCACCCGGGGACCGGCAUCUCAUACUGCUUGGCUUGAGUACGGGAGAGGAUGUGGGAAUUCCUGGUGUAGCGGUGAAAUGCGUAGAUAUCAGGAGGAACACCGGUGGCGAAGGCGCACAUCUGGCCCGAUACUGACGCUGAGGCGCGAAAGCUAGGGGAGCAAACGGGAUUAGAUACCCCGGUAGUCCUAGCCGUAAACGGUGAUCACUAGGUGUUGGAGGCAUUGACCCCUCCAGUGCCGCAGCUAACGCAUUAAGUGAUCCGCCUGGGGAGUACGGCCGCAAGGUUGAAACUCAAAGGAAUUGACGG